CUCUUUCGUUGCACAAAUAAAACUGAACCCACUGAUUCGGAUAAAACAGAUGAUUUCUCAAAUAGUAUUAACAUCUAAGUAGAUACAUGUCAGUGUAUUAACAAACCGAAAGAGGCAAGGCAACGGAACUAAGUUCCGAAGUGCAGAAAUACCCAGACAUUAAUCAAGACUGAUGAAUCCUAAAGCAGAACCCAGAUAUUCAAAAAUGAUAACAGAAAAUCAAAGUCAAAUACCCUAUAAAGACACUAGUCUUUCUCCUUAGGAGGGACCUUGGAGUCCAGUUCCUUGGGCUUUACCUUCUCAGC
This 305-nucleotide long non-coding RNA is filed under the name Gossypium raimondii (Peruvian cotton). Its description in RNAcentral is "long non-coding RNA (GRAI_LNC009939)". Lineage: Eukaryota; Viridiplantae; Streptophyta; Magnoliopsida; Malvales; Malvaceae. The record is from RNAcentral.